This 52-nucleotide transfer RNA is filed under the name Varanus marmoratus. RNAcentral describes it as "tRNA-Asn". The record is from RNAcentral. Lineage: Eukaryota; Metazoa; Chordata; Lepidosauria; Squamata; Varanidae.
GGGCAGCUAGCUGUUAAUUAGUUGAUCGCGGGAUCGAGGCCCGUCUAUCUAG